AUUGAACGCUGGCGGCAGGCCUAACACAUGCAAGUCGAGCGGUAGCACAGAGAGCUUGCUCUCGGGUGACGAGCGGCGGACGGGUGAGUAAUGUCUGGGAAACUGCCGGAUGGAGGGGGAUAACUACUGGAAACGGUAGCUAAUACCGCAUAACGUCGCAAGCCCAAAGAGGGGGACCUUCGGGCCUCUUGCCAUCAGAUGUGCCCAGAUGGGAUUAGCUAGUAGGUGGGGUAAUGGCUCACCUAGGCGACGAUCCCUCGCUGGUCUGAGAGGAUGACCAUCCACCCAGGAACUGGGACACGGUCCAGACUCCUACGGGAGGCAGCAGGGGGGGAUAUUGCACAAUGGGCGCGAGGCUGAUGCAGCCAUGCCGGGUGUGUGACGAAGGCCUUCGGGUUGGAAAGCACUUUCAGCGAGGAGGAAGGGAUUAAUGUUAAUAACCUUAGUGGUUGACGUUACUCGCAGAAGCAGCACCGGCUAACACCGUGCCAGCCGCCGCGGUAA
Molecule: ribosomal RNA, 504 nt
Filed under: uncultured bacterium
Lineage: Bacteria
Description: partial 16S ribosomal RNA
Rfam family: Bacterial small subunit ribosomal RNA
Source: RNAcentral